UUUGAGAUGUUUCUGCUUUUCUAUGCAGGGCAAGGUGAGGCAGAAGUUAUCUUCAGGGGGGAAAUAUGUAUCAGUGAACAUUGGGCCAAUUCAGGUUGUUUCUAGUGAGCAGGUACAAGCUGUAUACAACGCCAUGAGAAAAGAUGACAGGAUGAAAUACUUUUUGUAAAUGACUUUCUUCUGUAACCUUUGUAUAGAAUUGAAUUACCUAGGCAUUAUGAUGAUUCAUGCUUUUCUUUUCACCCUUUCCCCCCCUAAUAUGUCGUAGUAUUUAUUAUUAUAAUUAAAUGUUCUUUGAUUAACUACGAAAUAAUUUUAGCCUUAAAUUGAGUAGAUAUCUUUAAAAGA
Nicotiana tabacum (common tobacco) is the source of this 348-nucleotide non-coding RNA. NCBI's taxonomy places the organism in Eukaryota, Viridiplantae, Streptophyta, Magnoliopsida, Solanales, Solanaceae. The record is from RefSeq and is a predicted model, not a curated record.